This is a long non-coding RNA of Trichoplusia ni (cabbage looper), 412 nucleotides long. RefSeq lists it as uncharacterized. NCBI's taxonomy places the organism in Eukaryota, Metazoa, Arthropoda, Insecta, Lepidoptera, Noctuidae. The record is from RefSeq and is a predicted model, not a curated record. The transcript has 2 exons.
CACCCUGCCGCGUACGCCCUCGUAUUAAUUCUCACACUGUACUGAUUUUGCUAGUGGCUCAUAUUCACCUUGCACCCUAUCAAGGCUUAAAAUUAUUAAUAAAUAUUAGAAUACUUGAAUAUACAAGUGAUUUAGUGUUAGUUCGUCCCGUACUGGGGACUUCUAAGCGGUUGAAGACCUGUGCUGAAGCUGGCUGAUGGAACUGCAUCCUGCAUUGCUCCGCUGACUGACUGUCGCCGAGGCCAUCCCGACACCCCCGACUGACACCCAAACAGGAGAGUGCGGUGUUCGCAACCUUCUACGUGGUCCGACCUUUGUACCGGCCUUACUCAUUGCCCUCUCAUUACGUAUUUACCUAGGUUACUGUUAAGUUUAUGCGAACAUUUUAAAUAUAGUUUAAUUUUUAUUUUUA